RNAcentral lists this Y RNA (113 nucleotides) under Colobus angolensis palliatus. RNAcentral's name for it is "Y RNA (ENSCANG00000016669.1)". It matches the Rfam family "Y RNA". Rfam says of the family: Y RNAs are components of the Ro ribonucleoprotein particle (Ro RNP), in association with Ro60 and La proteins. The Y RNAs and Ro60 and La proteins are well conserved, but the function of the Ro RNP is not known. Lineage: Eukaryota; Metazoa; Chordata; Mammalia; Primates; Cercopithecidae. The record is from Rfam by way of RNAcentral.
GGCUGGUCCAAAGGUACUGAGUUAUCUCAAUGGACCGUUUGCAGUCAGUUACAGAUGCAACUCCUUGUUCUACUCUUUCCCCCGUUCUCACUACUACACUUCACUAGUCUUAA